AAGCUGCUAACCACAGCAUUUGAAGCGAGUCUUGAGUGUAUUACAGUAAUGUAAUGGCUAAGCGUAGACAGCAAGGUUGCAGGGACAGCAAUUGAGCGCCGAAAUACCAUAAAUCGGAGUGCCGACUCUGUGGUCUGAGAGGAAGGCAACAUGUGGGUUUAUCGUUAAGGUGAGAUUUCACACAGCUCCGCGGCGUUG
Molecule: non-coding RNA, 198 nt
Filed under: human gut metagenome
Source: RNAcentral